GAUGAACGCUAGCUACAGGCUUAACACAUGCAAGUCGAGGGGCAGCAUUUCGCUAGCAAUAGUGAAGAUGGCGACCGGCGCACGGGUGAGUAACACGUAUCCAACCUGCCGAUAACUCGGGGAUAGCCUUUCGAAAGAAAGAUUAAUAUCCAAUGACGUCUCUAGAAGACAUCUGAAGGAGACUAAAGAUUUAUCGGUGAUGGAUGGGGAUGCGUCUGAUUAGCUUGUUGGCGGGGUAACGGCCCACCAAGGCGACGAUCAGUAGGGGUUCUGAGAGGAAGGUCCCCCACAUUGGAACUGAGACACGGUCCAAACUCCUACGGGAGGCAGCAGUGAGGAAUAUUGGUCAAUGGACGAGAGUCUGAACCAGCCAAGUAGCGUGAAGGAUGAAGGUCCUACGGAUUGUAAACUUCUUUUAUAAGGGAAUAAACCCUCCCACGUGUGGGAGCUUGUAUGUACCUUAUGAAUAAGCAUCGGCUAACUCCGUGCCAGCAGCCG
RNAcentral lists this ribosomal RNA (498 nucleotides) under uncultured bacterium. RNAcentral's name for it is "bacterial SSU rRNA". It matches the Rfam family "Bacterial small subunit ribosomal RNA", at positions 28 to 517 of the family's 1533-position model. The record is from RNAcentral.